AUACCUCAACUCUCAUGGCGUGCCAUGAUGAGCUUGGACUUUGGGGGUCUUGCUGGCCUUGUGGUCGGCUCCUCUCAAACAAAUCAGCUUGCCAGUGUUUGGUGGCGUCACAGGUGUGAUAACUAUCUACGCUUGUGGUUUUCCACCAGGUAACCUUCAGCGAUGGAGGUUUGGCUGGGGCUUAUAGACCGUCUCUCCUCAGUGAGGACAGCUCUUUGAAC
Molecule: unclassified non-coding RNA, 221 nt
Filed under: uncultured Thelephoraceae
Lineage: Eukaryota; Fungi; Basidiomycota; Agaricomycetes; Thelephorales; Thelephoraceae
Description: sequence contains ITS2
Source: RNAcentral